Molecule: long non-coding RNA, 485 nt
Organism: Olea europaea var. sylvestris
Lineage: Eukaryota; Viridiplantae; Streptophyta; Magnoliopsida; Lamiales; Oleaceae
Exons: 2
Source: RefSeq, a predicted model, not a curated record
CCCUAAUCUUCUUACAGUACCUACCUCACCCUCGCCAUCCUCGUCACAUCCACACAGGGCGACGAAAACCUUUCCAUCACAGCCUAUAACUCCUCUAGUCUUAUUACUUCUCGAUGGGGCUCCUCCUAAAAGGCAUAACCCACUAUGAUCUCGAUAAAGUCAUUGAAAAAUUCAUUACAUAUUUUAAAGGUUCCUCUGUUUCUCUCUUAGAGGCUGAUACUAGCUAAAGUACAAUUCCAAGAUCGAUGUGUACAUCUUCGAAGGUGAAGAGAAUGAGGGAAGAAUGUAGAAAACUGGAGAUUGAGAAGAAAAUUAAGGAUGUUGGUGUGGCUAUUUUACUCACUGCAUAAGGUUUUCAGUAUUUUUUUUUCCUUUUUUGGGAAAUGUAUUGAUUUUUUAGGUGUUUCAGAAUUUUGGAUCUGAAUUUUGUAUGGAUAUUAUUAUAUUUUGGAGUUCAAUUUAUAAUAAUUAUUGGAUUAGUUUGA